GUUGGGCUGCAUGCAUUGGCUGCCGUAGCGCGACGUGGGGUAGGGCUCCGCGCGCAGCAGCAGCGAGAUGUAGCCGGACAGGUAGCAGUGGCCGUUGAGGGGGUCCCCGUUGAUGCCUACAAAAUCUCCCUGGAGCUAGAAAUGAAGUCGUCAUAUUUGCCUGCUCCCUGAGAUCUGAAGGAAUUCAAUUUCUUUUCUUGUGGCAUAUAAAAUAUAAUUUUAAAGUCAAUUACAAGAAGGAGUAAUCUGCAUUCUGCAAAAUUGACUGGUUCGCUAAUUUGACUAUAAGACAUCUUUAAUGAUUGUCAGGAGAUAAACUUUAACUGUAAGCAGCUAAAUAUAUUUAUAAGAAAAGUGCUGCAUCUCUUGCUACAUGAACAUGAAGCAUAUCUAAAUACAACAUCAAAAGUUGUGUUAAAAGAAACCAAACCCAUACAACACAGGGAUUAAAUGAUGUGGAAGCUCAUGCCAGCUGCAGUGUGUGCGUUAUAGCCAAAUCAGAAGGAUCGGUAAAUGCCGUUGUAAAUUGUAAUUUGUAUGCAGUAUUUAAGCAGAGGGUGGAGUUUGAUGAAGAAAUAAAAUGAGUAUCAUGCUUUUAAAAAAAUGACACAACUAUGAAAGCACGGUUCAGUCACAAACUUUCCUUUCAAAGUAGAGGGGUGAAAACAAGGCCACAGCUCUGGAGGAGGCGGCCCCAGCUCGGUGAAGAGGCAGGGAACCAGUGAACAGUCCAGAAGCCCCCCUUCCCCCCUAAUUAGACCUACAAGUGCAAUAAAUCUCGCUCCUUUUUUUCCAGGCUAAGCUUCCAAAAGGAUGAUGCAGCAAUGAGUCUGUGGUUCAGGGUACUCCAGUCCCUGGCCCUCCCCCAUUUUAAAUAAAGAGUACGAAGAAGUGGAGGAGAAAGUGGAAUGAAAAAA
Molecule: non-coding RNA, 917 nt
Organism: Equus caballus (horse)
Lineage: Eukaryota; Metazoa; Chordata; Mammalia; Perissodactyla; Equidae
Source: RefSeq, a predicted model, not a curated record